CUACGGGCUGCAGCAGUGGGGAAUAUUGCACAAUGGAGGAAACUCUGAUGCAGCAACGCCGCGUGGAGGAUGACACUUUUCGGAGCGUAAACUCCUUUUAUAUAGGAAGAAGAUGACGGUACUAUAUGAAUAAGCGCCGGCUAACUCCGUGCCAGCAGCCGCGGUAAUACGGAGGGCGCAAGCGUUACUCGGAAUCACUGGGCGUAAAGAGCGUGUAGGCGGAUUAAAAAGUCAGAAGUGAAAUCCUAUAGCUUAACUAUAGAACUGCUUCUGAAACUCUUAAUCUAGAAUAUGGGAGAGGUAGAUGGAAUUUCUGGUGUAGGGGUAAAAUCCGUAGAGAUCAGAAGGAAUACCGAUUGCGAAGGCGAUCUACUAGAACAUUACUGACGCUCAGAUGCGAAAGCGUGGGGAGCAAACAGGAUUAGAUACCCUUGUAGUC
This 439-nucleotide ribosomal RNA is filed under the name uncultured bacterium. Its description in RNAcentral is "partial 16S ribosomal RNA". It matches the Rfam family "Bacterial small subunit ribosomal RNA", at positions 339 to 795 of the family's 1533-position model. The record is from RNAcentral.